This 460-nucleotide ribosomal RNA is filed under the name uncultured bacterium. RNAcentral's name for it is "partial 16S ribosomal RNA". It matches the Rfam family "Bacterial small subunit ribosomal RNA", at positions 338 to 795 of the family's 1533-position model. The record is from RNAcentral.
CCUACGGGAGGCAGCAGUGAGGAAUAUUGGUCAAUGGACGCAAGUCUGAACCAGCCAAGCCGCGUGCAGGAUGACGGCUCUAUGAGUUGUAAACUGCUUUUGUACGAGGGUAAACACCGAUACGUGUAUCGGGUUGAAAGUAUCGUACGAAUAAGGAUCGGCUAACUCCGUGCCAGCAGCCGCGGUAAUACGGAGGAUCCGAGCGUUAUCCGGAGUUAUUGGGUUUAAAGGGUGCGUAGACGGUUUGAUAAGUUAGAUGUGAAAUGUCGGGGCUCAACCCCAAAACUGACUUUGAUACUGUUGGACUAGAGAAUAGUUGCGGUAGGCGGAAUGUAUGGUGUAGCGGUGAAAUGCUUAGAGAUCAUGAAGAACACCGAUUGCGAAGGCAGCUUACCAGACUGUAUCUGACGUUGAGGCACGAAAGCGUGGGUAGCAAACAGGAUUAGAUACCCCGGUAGUC